CCCUUCAUUUGCCUGCUGGACCCUCGUCCUCAAGGGUAGGGGAAGUGCGCGGUGAGCGGCCUGGGUCUUGCGGGCUCGGCUGGGGCCCGCAGACGGAGUCUCACUCUGUCACCCAAGCUGGAGUGCAGUGGCAUGAUCUCAGCUCACUGCAGCCUCUGCUUCCCGGGUUCAAGUGAUUCUCUUGCCUCAGCCUCCUGAGUAGCUGGGAUUACAGGCACGUGCCACCACGCCUGGCUAAUUUUUGUGUUUUUAGUAGAGAUGGGGUUUCACCAUGUUGGUCAGGCUGGUCUUGAACUCUUGACCUCGUGAUCGCCUGCCUUGGCCUCCCAAAGUGGGGGGAUUACAGGCAUGAGCCACUACGCCUGGCCAUCUUAAUAAUUUUUUUUUUUGAGAUGAGUUUUGCUCUUGUUGCCCAGGCUGAAGUGCAGUGGUGCAAUCUUGGCUCACUGCAACCUCUGCCUCCCAGGUUCAAGUGAUCUCCUGCCUCA
This 488-nucleotide small RNA is filed under the name Pongo abelii (Sumatran orangutan). RNAcentral describes it as "retained intron". The record is from RNAcentral. Lineage: Eukaryota; Metazoa; Chordata; Mammalia; Primates; Hominidae.